This 413-nucleotide ribosomal RNA is filed under the name uncultured bacterium. RNAcentral's name for it is "bacterial SSU rRNA". It matches the Rfam family "Bacterial small subunit ribosomal RNA", at positions 94 to 518 of the family's 1533-position model. The record is from RNAcentral.
AGUGGCGGACGGGUGAGUAACACGUGAGCAACCUACCCUGGAUGGGGGAUAACAUCUGGAAACGGAUGCUAAUACCGCAUAAUAUCGAGAGUCGGCAUCGGCUUUUGAUCAAAGGAUUUAUUCGCUUUAGGAUGGGCUCGCGUCCGAUUAGAUAGUUGGUGAGGUAAAGGGCUCACCCAAGGUCUGCGAUCGGUAGCCGGACUGAGAGGUUCGAUCGGCCACAUUGGGACUGAGACACGGCCCAGACUCCUACGGGAGGCAGCAGUGGGGGAUAUUGCACAAUUGGGGGGAAACCCUGAUGCAGCGACGCCGCGUGAGUGAAGACGGCCUUCGGGUUGUAAAGCUCUGUUGAGGGGGACGAUAAUGACGGUACCCCUUUAGAAAGCCACGGCUAACUACGUGCCAGCCGCCGC